RNAcentral lists this unclassified non-coding RNA (1746 nucleotides) under Drosophila mojavensis. RNAcentral describes it as "GI11836". Lineage: Eukaryota; Metazoa; Arthropoda; Insecta; Diptera; Drosophilidae. The record is from RNAcentral.
AAUUGUUGCGUAUGCGUGUGCAAAGCAUAUGCAUAGCAUAUUUUAUUGUUUAAAACAAUCCUUUUGUGCAAAAAAUUGUGCAAAAACAUAUGUAGAACUUAUGUCUGAUACAAGUGCUCUGGAAUUAUGUAUCAGUUGUAGUGCGAGCUGCAGUAGCAGGCGCAAAAGAAGAAAGUGAAGCAGCUACAACAACAACAGCAGCGACAAGAACAACAACAAAAGAGCAGCAACAAAUUUUGUAAAAGGGAAAAAGAAAUAUAUAUACAUACAUAUAUUUGUACACAAUCAAACGCACACGCAACGUGCUCGCACCAGCCCCAUUAUAAAUUCAAGAAACAACAGCUACAAAAACAGCAAUUGCAAUGUCCAAUGGUGACGAUGUGCUAGACAACUGGGAAGAAAUUGACGAGGCAGGCCUUUGCAUGACGCUUCAAACGAAACUGCAAACCGCCGACGACGACUCCAGUUGCACCCUUAAGCCCGCCCCAACAGCUGAAACACCAGCAACAACAGCAGCCUCUGGCAAAAUGAAAUUACUUCAACGGCCGCAAAGCAUGCAGGAAAGCAGCGGCGGUGGCAGCACUGCGACGGCCGCAGACGUGGCACCUAAACAAAUCAUGAUUGCUAAGAAGCAGCCAACGUCUGCGACAUCAUUGGAUGACGAAUCGAGCGCGCCGUCGCCGCCUGUUAUGAUGGUGCUCCAUAAAUCGAGCAGCGAGUACGAUGCUGCCAAUUAUGCCACGCCCAUUAGCAAUCAAACGGUGAAAAUCUUGCGACGACCCGCACAGGCCGAAGAGCGCCGUGAUAUGAAUGGCAUUAGACCCAAGCAGCCCAUCAAAACGCUGCAACAAAGAGAGCAGGAAUACGCACAGGCACGUCUUCGCAUACUGGGAAGCGCUAAGAAUCCAGAGGACGAUAAACCUGCCGCGGCCGCAACCCUCGUGGUGCUAUCAACCCCAGUGCAACCGGAGGUGACGACAACAACGCCGACAGCGUUCAACUUCAAUAACAACAUUAAUAAUAACAACAGUGGCAUUGGCAUUCAGUCAGUAAAUAAUGCAUCACCUGGCAUGCAUCGGUCCACAUCGGCGCCAAAGAUGUCACAGACGGCGCCCUUUUACAACAACUACAACAAUUAUUAUCAGCCGCCGCCAAAUACAGCCCCCAUGGGCUAUUUCUAUCAGCAGACACCGUCGAUGCAUCAGCCACAUCAACAGCAGCAACAGCAUCAACAAACUUCGCCACAAUCUCUGGCGCACUACAAUCAACGACUGUCGCAGUAUAUGACAGGCGCCAGUGUGACAGCAGCAGGAGCUGCAACGGCCAACCCUCAGCAGAGUUGGUCGCCGGUUGUGGGCGGCAGUGUUUCGGCGGCGCUGCUGCGUCAGCAAUCGUUGCAUACGCCAUCGUUGCAACAGCAUCAGGCACAGCCACAGCCACCGCCACCUCAAUAUGCACAUCCAUACAAUGAUAACGUACUACGGCUGCCACGUGGUCCGUGCCCCAAUGGCACAAUCGGAUUUCAGAUGCGUCGGUAACAGGCGGCCAGAUGGAUGCAACAAAACUAUCUAUUAUUUCAAUUAUCCCAUGCCAAUUGAACGCAUGCAUUCAAAAUUGUCAUUUCUGAGAUUGCAUUAAAGCUGCAAUCAACCAACUAUGUAAACAAAUUUAUGACGGAGUUUGGUAGUUAUCUUGUAAAUUUACAAACAAAAAACAACAGAGGAGAAACAUUACAAUUUUUUAAUG